GCGUCCAUAGCUCAGUUGGUUAGAGCACCACCUUGACAUGGUGGGGGUCGGUGGUUCGAGUCCACUUGGACGCACCA
Molecule: transfer RNA, 77 nt
Filed under: Acinetobacter baumannii
Lineage: Bacteria; Pseudomonadati; Pseudomonadota; Gammaproteobacteria; Moraxellales; Moraxellaceae
Also listed under: 118 other names
Description: tRNA-Val
Rfam family: tRNA
About the family: Transfer RNA (tRNA) molecules are approximately 80 nucleotides in length. Their secondary structure includes four short double-helical elements and three loops (D, anti-codon, and T loops).
Source: RNAcentral